ACGGAGGGCGCGAGCGUUGUCCGGAAUUAUUGGGCGUAAAGGGCUCGUAGGCGGCUUGUCACGUCUGCUGUGAAAAUGCGGGGCUUAACUCCGUACGUGCAGUGGGAACGGGCAGGCUUGAGUGCGGUAGAGGUGGCUGGAAUUUCUGGUGUAGCGGUGGAAUGCGUAGAUAUCAGGAGGAACACCGAUGGCGAAGGCAGGUCACUGGGCUGUUACUGACGCUGAGGAGCGAAAGUGUGGGGAGCGAACAG
This 251-nucleotide ribosomal RNA is filed under the name uncultured prokaryote. RNAcentral describes it as "partial 16S rRNA". It matches the Rfam family "Bacterial small subunit ribosomal RNA", at positions 525 to 775 of the family's 1533-position model. The record is from RNAcentral.